Molecule: ribosomal RNA, 657 nt
Filed under: uncultured Bacilli bacterium
Lineage: Bacteria; Bacillati; Bacillota; Bacilli
Description: bacterial SSU rRNA
Rfam family: Bacterial small subunit ribosomal RNA
Source: RNAcentral
GCUUGCUCUUCUUGGAUGAGUUGCGAACGGGUGAGUAACGCGUAGGUAACCUGCCUUGUAGCGGGGGAUAACUAUUGGAAACGAUAGCUAAUACCGCAUAACAAUGGAUGACACAUGUCAUUUAUUUGAAAGGGGCAAUUGCUCCACUACAAGAUGGACCUGCGUUGUAUUAGCUAGUAGGUGAGGUAACGGCUCACCUAGGCGACGAUACAUAGCCGACCUGAGAGGGUGAUCGGCCACACUGGGACUGAGACACGGCCCAGACUCCUACGGGAGGCAGCAGUAGGGAAUCUUCGGCAAUGGGGGCAACCCUGACCGAGCAACGCCGCGUGAGUGAAGAAGGUUUUCGGAUUGUAAAGCUCUGUUGUAAGUCAAGAACGAGUGUGAGAGUGGAAAGUUCACACUGUGACGGUAGCUUACCAGAAAGGGACGGCUAACUACGUGCCAGCAGCCGCGGUAAUACGUAGGUCCCGAGCGUUGUCCGGAUUUAUUGGGCGUAAAGCGAGCGCAGGCGGUUUGAUAAGUCUGAAGUUAAAGGCUGUGGCUCAACCAUAGUUCGCUUUGGAAACUGUCAAACUUGAGUGCAGAAGGGGAGAGUGGAAUUCCAUGUGUAGCGGUGAAAUGCGUAGAUAUAUGGAGGACACCGGUGGCGAAAGC